This 915-nucleotide long non-coding RNA is filed under the name Pan troglodytes (chimpanzee). RNAcentral describes it as "long non-coding RNA NONPTRT007473". The record is from RNAcentral. Lineage: Eukaryota; Metazoa; Chordata; Mammalia; Primates; Hominidae.
CCGAGUGGGCCGCGAUCGGCCGAGGAUUUGGGGUACUCUUUGACCCAGGCGGGGCGCGAUCCGCCUAGGAUUUGGGGUCCCCUGGCGCCGAACCCUGAGUUGCCAGAUUUAGCAAGUAAAAGUACAGUUCUUCUAAAUUUGAAUUUCAGACAGGACAGGUUUUAGGGUUCGUCUCCUGUAAUGUUGAGAAGGAUUUCCCUCAUCUACCUUUCUUUGGGAGAUACGACUAAAACCAACAAAAGCCAAGUUUGGUAAAUAAGAAGUUUAAACAAGUGCUUCUCUGUACAGCUCAUCCACUUCCUCAUCUGUAAACCGAUCCCCCAUGGUUGUCAGCAGCUCUCUCAAGUAAUCUUCCUGAAUGGUGCCUGGAGAAUAAAGAACAAGGGAUCAGAAUACAUACUAUUCUGAGGGUUAAUUACAAAGAAUAUCUAUACUCAACUAAGCAUGUUCUGUAUGUUACAAACUAUAAACAUGCAAAGAUAUAUGAACUACAGGGUGUCCACCUACUUAAAACAGCCUCAGCAGAGAAGUGCCUAGAAAAAUGCCUAGCUGCUUAGCAGCACUGCUCCGCUCUAUCAUUUGCUCUAUCAUUCUGCCUCCACAUUCAGCUUCUGAUCUCUUGAUAAGAGAGACUAAACCUAUGCCUAAACAAAGUAAUAAAAAGUAUGGUUAAAGAAUCUAAGCCUUACGGUUCCUUAAAGUGGCAUGAAUGGUCACAUCUUAUUCUACAAGCAAGUAACAUUUACCUGCCAGGCUAAAAUCAACACUACAUCAUACACAUCAAUAAAGUGGUACAGUGGAAAGAAUACUGGAAACUUGAGGCCCAGUUUUAACAAGCUAUUUUAUUUCAGGCAUUUCACUUUAUCCCUGACUUUGGUUUUCUCAGAUGUAAAAUGAGAUUUUUACUGUUUACAA